GCGUUAUUUUCGCUCGCCCCCCUCCCCUAGAGACACACACUGCAGAGGGCUAAUUAUACCCGGUACUCAAAGAGUAAAUAGGGUAUAUUGUAUUUGUGCGAAUAACGGUUGUAUGUAACGCACAGAAGGAAGCGUUUCCGACCCCAUAAAGUAUAUAUAUUCUUGAUCAGCAUCAAUAGCCGAGUCGAUAGAGCCAUGUCUGUCUGUCCGUCUGUCCGUCUUGUUUGUCGGCUAGUUCUCAGAGACUAUAAGAGCUAGAGCCACCAAAUUUUGGCUAUGGACUGCUGUAUGCUCAGUGUAUUUCAAAAAUGAUGAUGACUCUUCCGACUUUUAACCAAGACUCGGUUUUAACGCUCUGUAUUAGAAAAAGAGUGACCAUCAAAGUUGCGUACAAGAUGGCGUAAUAGAUGGCGCCACUUUCGAAAAAUUUGCUGUGAAACCUAUCGGUCAUUAUUGCACAGAAUGUGCUGACAAUUGGACCAUCAAAGUUGCGUACAAGAAAUUUUCAUAGAUGCCGCCAUUUUCGAAAAAUUUGCUGUGAAACCUAUCGGUCCAAGAAUGUACCAAUUUUAUUUAGUAGGCUCUUACCACGUGUUCUACAAUGUGAACGAUAUCUAGUGGUUGGCGAUGUCUUCUACAUCUAGAUGUAGUAUAAAAGUUGUGACACGUAAGAAGCGUCUCACACGUCCCUUUUCGUUUUUUUUGUGUGCGAUCGCUGCCUCUGCCUCUGCCGCGAGUCUGCAGUAUGUGGGUCUUGGGAAGGGCGGCGAGCGUGUUGGUGUGAGAAGUGUUGUAGAUGUAGAUGACAGAUGUAGAAACAAUUUUAAAUGUGACAAAACACCGCUGAUGUGCAGAUGCACUAUUGUCCCAAUGACCAGUUUUGGUGGCUGUUUACGCCAGUUACCCAAAUUAUGGCCCCGAGCAAUUAGUAUUUUGUAUAAGUAAAAUUAAUUUGUAGCAUUAAGCUAUUGAAUUGUUGCAUUUACGACAUACUGACAAAAGCUUGUUGUUAUAGAACAUACAUGUAAUGUGUGAAUACGAUAGAGAAAGGGGAAGAACAUGCAUUUAAUAGGUGAAUAUCGAAAUUGAAAAGAAGAAGAGAUUAAAUUGAUUUGAAUUCCGACUCGGUCGAACAGCAGCACUUGGCUUUUUAUUUCGAGAUUUUGAUUCCGAACUGGUUGCGAGGAGUUGCGGAAACAGUGGCCAAAAGCAAAUUUUUAAAAGUUAAACCCAAGACUCGGUUUUUAACGCUCUUUAUUAGAAAAAGAGUGACCAUCAAAGUUGCGUAUAAGAAAUUUUCAUAGAUGGCGCCACUUUCGAAAAAUCUGAUGUGAAACCUAGCGGUCAUUAUUGC
This 1354-nucleotide long non-coding RNA is filed under the name Drosophila guanche. Lineage: Eukaryota; Metazoa; Arthropoda; Insecta; Diptera; Drosophilidae. The record is from RNAcentral.